This is a non-coding RNA of Acanthosepion pharaonis, 110 nucleotides long. The record is from the annotation of a GenBank genome assembly. Lineage: Eukaryota; Metazoa; Mollusca; Cephalopoda; Sepiida; Sepiidae.
UAUGGCCAUAUCACAUUGAAACAUUGGUUCUCAUCUGAUCAGCAAAGUUCAGCAAUGCUGAGCCUGGUCAGUACCUAGAUGUGUGACCAUUUGUAAAUACCAGGUGCUAU